Molecule: ribosomal RNA, 402 nt
Filed under: uncultured bacterium
Lineage: Bacteria
Description: bacterial SSU rRNA
Rfam family: Bacterial small subunit ribosomal RNA
Source: RNAcentral
UCGGGAAUUUUGGGCAAUGGGCGAAAGCCUGACCCAGCAACGCCGCGUGAGGGAUGAAGUAUUUCGGUAUGUAAACCUCGAAAGAAUGGGAAGAAUAAAUGACGGUACCAUUUAUAAGCUCCGGCCAACUACGUGCCAGCAGCCGCGGUAAUACGUAGGGAGCAAGCGUUGUUCGGAUUUACUGGGCGUAAAGGGCGCGUAGGCGGCGCGGUAAGUCACUUGUGAAAUCUCUGAGCUUAACUCAGAACGGCCAAGUGAUACUGCUGUGCUAGAGUGCGGAAGAGGCAACCGGAAUUCUUGGUGUAGCGGUGAAAUGCGUAGAUAUCAAGAGGAACACCUGAGGCGAAGGCGGGUUGCUGGGCCGACAUUGACGCUGAUGCGCGAAAGCCAGGGGAGCAAACG